Molecule: transfer RNA, 73 nt
Filed under: Camelus bactrianus (Bactrian camel)
Lineage: Eukaryota; Metazoa; Chordata; Mammalia; Artiodactyla; Camelidae
Also listed under: 2 other names
Rfam family: tRNA
About the family: Transfer RNA (tRNA) molecules are approximately 80 nucleotides in length. Their secondary structure includes four short double-helical elements and three loops (D, anti-codon, and T loops).
Source: Rfam by way of RNAcentral
GAGGGUAUAGCUCAAGUGGUAGAGCACAUGCUUAGUUUACACAAGGUCCUGGGUUCAAUCCCCAGUACCUCCC